GAAAUCUGAGUAAAGAAUUCUUAGUUGCUAAGCAUUACCAAAUCAGUGUGUGAGAUAUCAAGGUUAAAGCUCGAGAAGGUAUAAUUUCUACUCCGUUCUUAACUUGAGUCUUGUUGAUUCUCGUUUUUCAGAUUAUUAGGUCAAGUAUGAUGAAUUAGCAUGAUAAAGGGUGUUUAGAAAGUUUACCUUCGUGCAUGAAUACGUAAAAAAUUGUCUGGAAUCAAGUUAUGGCUACUCUGCAAAACAGAGCAUGUUCACCGCUUCUGAAAUCCAUGGGGUGCAGCUGCACUGUGCUUAGGAACCAACUGAUGGGUUCGGUCAUGUUAGACCUUGUAUUAAGAAAUUCC
RNAcentral lists this long non-coding RNA (347 nucleotides) under Panax ginseng (ginseng). RNAcentral describes it as "long non-coding RNA (PGIN_LNC007997)". The record is from RNAcentral. Lineage: Eukaryota; Viridiplantae; Streptophyta; Magnoliopsida; Apiales; Araliaceae.